This is a non-coding RNA of Phoenix dactylifera (date palm), 448 nucleotides long. The record is from RefSeq and is a predicted model, not a curated record. Lineage: Eukaryota; Viridiplantae; Streptophyta; Magnoliopsida; Arecales; Arecaceae.
UCGGCCGCCUCUCCCAAGUCCCAGCCCUCCCCCGAUUUCGGCCUCUCCCUGUCUCCCACUCGACUCCCAGCCCUCCCAGCCCUUCCGGCGACGACCCCCUUCCGGCGACACCCUAUUUUGAGCUUACAAAUGCUGUGCGAAUUGGAGAUCUGGAGCUGUUUAGGACCGUCGCAGAGAAGUUUUGCUGGCACUUUCUUGAAACUCUUGUGCUUUCAGGAAAGCGUUACCUGUUGCCAUAGUGCUUGGAGUUGCAGGGCUAGCUGGCUUGUAUUUCUACCUCAACAAUGCCUACUAGUGUGAGCAAGGAGCAUCAUGAGGCUCCUCUUUUCUUCAUUCUGAAACUGGUCGAGUCAAUAUUAGUAUUCAUAAUGUACUGUCAUCUGUAACAACAGAAUAAGUUAAUGUACUUAUGUUUCCAAUUUCAAGUUGUGAGGUUUCUGUUAAACAA